UUAAAUGGCCGCAGUAUUUUGACUGUGCAAAGGUAGCAUAAUCAUUAGUUUCUUAAUUAGAAGCUGGAAUGAAAGGUUGAACGAAAAAAUAACUGUCUCUUUAUAAAUUUAUUUGAAUUUUAUAUUUAAGUUAAAAAGCUUAAAUAUUUUUAAAAGACGAGAAGACCCUAUAGAGUUUUAUAUAAUUUUUUAUAAAAAUUUUAUUUUUAAUUAUAAAAAUUUUAUUAAUAAUUAUAUUUAGUUGGGGUGAUUGAAAAAUUUAAUAAACUUUUUUUUUAUUAAACAUUUAUAUAUGAUUAAUUGAUCCAUUAUUAAUGAUUAAAAGAUUAAAUUACCUUAGGGAUAACAGCGUAAUUUCUUUUUAGAGUUCUAAUCGAUAAAGAAGUUUGCGACCUCGAUGUUGGAUUAAAAUAUAGUUUUGGUGUAGAAGCUAAAAUUUUAGGUCUGUUCGACCUUUAAAAUUUUACAUGAUCUGAGUUUAAACCGGUGUAAGCCAGGUUGGUUUCUAUCUUUAAAUAAAAAAAAUAUUUUAGUACGAAAGGACCAAAUAUUUAAAAUAUUUUUUAAAUAUUGAAUAAUAAUAAUUG
This 587-nucleotide ribosomal RNA is filed under the name Ocalea corsicana. Its description in RNAcentral is "partial 16S ribosomal RNA". It matches the Rfam family "Bacterial large subunit ribosomal RNA", at positions 1923 to 2735 of the family's 2925-position model. Lineage: Eukaryota; Metazoa; Arthropoda; Insecta; Coleoptera; Staphylinidae. The record is from RNAcentral.